RNAcentral lists this ribosomal RNA (339 nucleotides) under Streptococcus agalactiae. RNAcentral's name for it is "bacterial SSU rRNA". It matches the Rfam family "Bacterial small subunit ribosomal RNA", at positions 1 to 330 of the family's 1533-position model. The record is from RNAcentral. Lineage: Bacteria; Bacillati; Bacillota; Bacilli; Lactobacillales; Streptococcaceae.
UUUAAUGAGAGUUUGAUCCUGGCUCAGGACGAACGCUGGCGGCGUGCCUAAUACAUGCAAGUAGAACGCUGAGGUUUGGUGUUUACACUAGACUGAUGAGUUGCGAACGGGUGAGUAACGCGUAGGUAACCUGCCUCAUAGCGGGGGAUAACUAUUGGAAACGAUAGCUAAUACCGCAUAAGAGUAAUUAACACAUGUUAGUUAUUUAAAAGGAGCAAUUGCUUCACUGUGAGAUGGACCUGCGUUGUAUUAGCUAGUUGGUGAGGAAAAGGCUCACCAAGGCGACGAUACAUAGCCGACCUGAGAGGGUGAUCGGCCACACUGGGACUGAGACACGGC